Molecule: small nucleolar RNA, 70 nt
Filed under: Lepisosteus oculatus (spotted gar)
Lineage: Eukaryota; Metazoa; Chordata; Actinopteri; Semionotiformes; Lepisosteidae
Description: Small nucleolar RNA SNORD58
Rfam family: Small nucleolar RNA SNORD58
About the family: snoRNA U58 is found in introns 1, 3 and 6 of the ribosomal protein RPL17 gene in humans. U58 is a member of the C/D class of snoRNA which contain C (UGAUGA) and D (CUGA) box motifs.
Source: Rfam by way of RNAcentral
UUGCAGUGAUGACCAUCUUAGGACACCUUUGGAUUUAAGCAUGAAAACAACCUUUUUGUCUCUGAGCAAC